Molecule: ribosomal RNA, 460 nt
Filed under: uncultured bacterium
Lineage: Bacteria
Description: bacterial SSU rRNA
Rfam family: Bacterial small subunit ribosomal RNA
Source: RNAcentral
GCCAGACUCCUACGGGAGGCAGCAGUGGGGGAUAUUGCACAAUGGGGGAAACCCUGAUGCAGCGACGCCGCGUGGGUGAAGGAGCACUUCGGUGCGUAAAGCCCUAUCGGCAGGGAAGAAAAGGGGGAAACCCCAGACGGUACCUGACUAAGAAGCCCCGGCUAACUACGUGCCAGCAGCCGCGGGAAUACGUAGGGGGCAAGCGUUAUCCGGAUUUACUGGGUGUAAAGGGAGCGUAGGCGGUGCAGCAAGUCAGAAGUGAAAGCCCGGGGCUCAACUCCGGGACUGCUUUUGAAACUGUUGAACUAGAUUGCAGGAGAGGUAAGUGGAAUUCCUAGUGUAGCGGUGAAAUGCGUAGAUAUUAGGAGGAACACCAGUGGCGAAGGCGGCUUACUGGACGGUAAAUGACGCUGAGGCUCGAAAGCGUGGGGAGCAAACAGGAUUAGAUACCCCGGUAUCG